Molecule: unclassified non-coding RNA, 1185 nt
Filed under: Hevea brasiliensis (rubber tree)
Lineage: Eukaryota; Viridiplantae; Streptophyta; Magnoliopsida; Malpighiales; Euphorbiaceae
Source: RNAcentral
AUUAGGAGAUAAUGUCAAAACAAAAUAUUUUCAAACUCCUCAGUUUUUUAUAAUUAUAUUUCAAACUUUUUUUUAAUAAAAAUAUCUUAAACUAUUAAUUUUAUUAUAAUUAUACCAUACCAUCUAUUCCAUGUUAAUCUAAUGGACUUUGCCACAUCAGCAUAAAAAAACAUCCAAUCAUUUUUUUAAAUAAAUAUACCAUAAACUUUGAAUUUCAUUAUAAUUGAAUCUCACCAUUAGUUGCCUGUUAAAUACUAACAAAUGUUCCAGGUCGACACUUCUAAACCCCAAAUCGAUACUAACUAAAUCUAAUUUACAAAAAAAGAAAAAAAAAGGAAUAUUCAUUUCCAACAAAACAACAUCACUUUCACCAAAAACACAGAGAUUCAUCUUAUACCUCCCCACUCCUCUGCCACUAGGUUUUUUCAACCUCCACGCCUUACAAAGCCAUUUGGCACUAAUCUCCUUCAGUCACUUAUUCCACCAUCAUUAACCGGUGCUCUUAUUCCUCCCCUAUAGUAUUAGAGUAUACAACGUAUCUCUCAAUCAUCCUUCAUCACCUCAACAAGCCAUCACCUCUACUAUGAUCACCUCUACAUAACCCAAUUUUGCCUUAUGAUGACUCAAUAUCACUUCUCAUCAAUAUUUUCUCUCAAAAACUCAAUCAGAUCCACCUUCACAGCCCAAAAAUAGGACAUAUUAAUUCAUCAAUUAAAGUUUAUUUUGUUGUAAAUUGGGUUUAAUUUGAUGAUUAGAAGUGUUGACUAAGCACUUGUGUUAGCAUUUAAUGAUGCAACUAAUGAUGGAGUUCAAUUGUAAAGAAUUUCAAUGUUAAGGGUAUAUUUAUUAAAAAGAAAAAAUUUGGGGUACAAUUGUAAAAACAGAUAUAAUUUGGGAUUUUUUUAAUAUUUUCACCGUUAUAAUUAACCGUGGAAUAGAUGGUAGAAUGUAAUUGUAAACAAGUUAAAAAUUUAGGGUAUUUUGUAAGAAAAUUUUUGUGUUACCAUUAUUAAAAAACUCAAAGUUUGAGAAUAUUUUUUUUUUUACAUUAUCCUUUUUAUUAGGAUGAAUAAAAUCUCACAAAUAUAUAUUAUAAAAAACAAAGAAUUUUGCCAAAUAUAAUUAGAAAUAAAAAUACUAAUACUAAAUAAGAAUUUAGUGUUAUAAUCAUUGUGUAUGUUAGGU